This 46-nucleotide non-coding RNA is filed under the name Schistosoma mansoni. The record is from RNAcentral. Lineage: Eukaryota; Metazoa; Platyhelminthes; Trematoda; Strigeidida; Schistosomatidae.
GCACUGUUGAGGAGUCCCACAAUAGGACGAAACGGCUGUUCAGUAC